RNAcentral lists this ribosomal RNA (449 nucleotides) under uncultured bacterium. RNAcentral's name for it is "partial 16S ribosomal RNA". It matches the Rfam family "Bacterial small subunit ribosomal RNA", at positions 29 to 523 of the family's 1533-position model. The record is from RNAcentral.
AACGAACGCUGGCGGCAUGCCUAACACAUGCAAGUCGAACGAGAUCUUCGGGUCUAGUGGCGCACGGGUGCGUAACGCGUGGGAAUCUGCCCUUUGGUUCGGAAUAACAGUUGGAAACGACUGCUAAUACCGGACGAUGACGAAAGGCCAAAGAUUUAUCGCCAGAGGAUGAGCCCGCGUAGGAUUAGCUAGUUGGUGUGGUAAAGGCGCACCAAGGCGACGAUCCUUAGCUGGUCUGAGAGGAUGAUCAGCCACACUGGGACUGAGACACGGCACAGACUCCUACAGGAGGCAGCAGUGGGGAAUAUUGGACAAUGGGCGAAAGCCUGAUCCAGCAAUGCCACGUGAGUGAUGAAGGCCUUAGGGUUGUAAAGCUCUUUUACCCGGGAUGAUAAUGACAGUACCGGGAGAAUAAGCUCCGGCUAACUCCGUGCCAGCCGCCGCCGUAA